CUGUCAAGUUGAAUAUUACGCCCUGCCCUUUGUGACUUGAGUAAAUAUUAGUGAAGGUUAAUCUAGAGAGGAAGGUAGCAGUAUUGUACAAUAUUGCCCUAUUUAGAAUCUGCAUUGAUGGAAUAAUACAGUUCCAGUUCCCGCAGGGGCUAGAUGUGAUUGAAUCAGACAUCUCCCAGUGACGCAGUAACAGACCAGUUAAUCUGAUGGGAGUCACCGUGUAACUCCCAACACUGAGAGCCAGACCCCUUCUGAAUGUCAUGCAGCAUCCUUUCAACCCUCAAGCCAUCAUUAACUCUGCUGUCCCCACCUCUAUACUGCUGUCAUUUUAAAUAGCUAAUUUUUUUUUUUUUUUUUUGAAGAAAGAAAAGUAAAAUAAGAAACAAAAAAUUCUCCAGGCAAAUACGGAGCCCGGCACGGAACUCGCGCCCUGGAAAAAAGACCUUGCGCACAGCUAAGUGACGUCACCGAAAGCUGCAAAGGAAACCUGACCUGAAGUUUGACAAAUGUGUCUGGAGGGAUGGCAAAGAGGGAUUGAUGCUCACUGCAAACACAUGUGACUGGCAGAGGGAGAGGCAGAACACAAAACAACAGGUUAAACAGCAGAGUCAGCCUUGGUCCCUGAACAGAUUGUGUCCUGUUAAACAACAGGAGAUUUCAGCAUGAUACUGGACAAUCAACAUUGGAAGCAAAACUUCAAAGAUACAUCGAUCAUACCGAGAGGAAUCAAUGGCUACCACUAAG
This is a long non-coding RNA of Polyodon spathula (Mississippi paddlefish), 744 nucleotides long. RefSeq lists it as uncharacterized. The record is from RefSeq and is a predicted model, not a curated record. NCBI's taxonomy places the organism in Eukaryota, Metazoa, Chordata, Actinopteri, Acipenseriformes, Polyodontidae. The transcript is spliced from 5 exons.